GGAAUCUUGGACAAUGGGGGAAACCCUGAUCCAGCGACGCCGCGUGACCGAUGAAGCCCCUCGGGGUGUAAAGGUCUUUCAGCGGGGACUAUUAUGAAGGUACCCGCAGAAGCAGCUGCGGCUAACUACGUGCCAGCAGCCGCGGUAAUACGUAGGCAGCGAGCGUUGUUCGGAAUUACUGGGCGUAAAGCGAGUGUAGGCCGUCUGCCAAGUCCUCCGUGAAAUCUCCCGGCUCAACUGGGAGGGUGCGGCGGAAACUGGCAGGCUUGAGUGCGGGAGAGGAGAGUGGAAUUCCUGGUGUAGCGGUGAAAUGCGUAGAUAUCAGGAGGAACACCGGUGGCGAAGGCGGCUUCCUGGACAGAAACUGACGCUGAGGCGCGAAAGCUAGGGGAGCAAAC
RNAcentral lists this ribosomal RNA (398 nucleotides) under uncultured bacterium. Its description in RNAcentral is "bacterial SSU rRNA". It matches the Rfam family "Bacterial small subunit ribosomal RNA", at positions 358 to 773 of the family's 1533-position model. The record is from RNAcentral.